AACGUAGGAGCCAAGCGUUAUCCGAAUUCACUGGGCGUAAAGCGCGUGCAGGCGGCUGGGUAAGUUGGAUGUGAAAUCUCCUGGCUCAACUGGGAGAGGCCGUUCAAUACUACCUGGCUUGAGGGCGACAGAGGGAGGUGGAAUUCCGGGUGUAGUGGUGAAAUACGUAGAUAUCCGGAGGAACACCAGAGGCGAAGGCGACCUCCUGGGUCGUACCUGACGCUGAGAUGCGAAAGCUAGGGGAGCAAACGGG
This 253-nucleotide ribosomal RNA is filed under the name uncultured bacterium. RNAcentral's name for it is "partial 16S ribosomal RNA". It matches the Rfam family "Bacterial small subunit ribosomal RNA", at positions 524 to 776 of the family's 1533-position model. The record is from RNAcentral.